Molecule: ribosomal RNA, 254 nt
Filed under: uncultured bacterium
Lineage: Bacteria
Description: partial 16S ribosomal RNA
Rfam family: Bacterial small subunit ribosomal RNA
Source: RNAcentral
UACGGGGGGAGCAAGCGUUGUUCGGAUUUACUGGGCGUAAAGGGCGUGUAGGCGGCCACUGCAAGUCGGUUGUGAAAUCUCCGGGCUUAACCCGGAAAGGUCAAUCGAUACUGCAGGGCUAGAGUGCAGAAGGGGCAACUGGAAUUCUCGGUGUAGCGGUGAAAUGCGUAGAUAUCGAGAGGAACACCUGCGGCGAAGGCGGGUUGCUGGGCUGACACUGACGCUGAAAUGCGAAAGCUAGGGGAGCGAACGGG